Sinocyclocheilus grahami is the source of this 187-nucleotide long non-coding RNA. RefSeq lists it as uncharacterized. Lineage: Eukaryota; Metazoa; Chordata; Actinopteri; Cypriniformes; Cyprinidae. The record is from RefSeq and is a predicted model, not a curated record. The transcript has 2 exons.
UGUUCUCGUCUCAGUUGUGUGUGUUUGCUCUCAGGGCUGGAGCAGUGCCUACUCCAUAGAGUCUGUCAUCAUGCAGAUAAAUGCCACUUUAGUCAAAGGAAAAGCAAGAGUGCAGUUCGGAGCCAAUAAGAAUCAGUACAAUCUUGCCAGAGCGCAGCAGUCGUAUAAAUCGCUGGUGCAGAUCCAU